RNAcentral lists this ribosomal RNA (840 nucleotides) under uncultured bacterium. Its description in RNAcentral is "bacterial SSU rRNA". It matches the Rfam family "Bacterial small subunit ribosomal RNA", at positions 12 to 812 of the family's 1533-position model. The record is from RNAcentral.
UUUGAUCCUGGCUCAGGACGAACGCUGGCGGCGUGCCUAAUACAUGCAAGUCGAGCGAGCUUGCCUAGAUGAUUUUAGUGCUUGCACUAAAUGAAACUAGAUACAAGCGAGCGGCGGACGGGUGAGUAACACGUGGGUAACCUGCCCAAGAGACUGGGAUAACACCUGGAAACAGAUGCUAAUACCGGAUAACAACACUAGACGCAUGUCUAGAGUUUGAAAGAUGGUUCUGCUAUCACUCUUGGAUGGACCUGCGGUGCAUUAGCUAGUUGGUAAGGUAACGGCUUACCAAGGCAAUGAUGCAUAGCCGAGUUGAGAGACUGAUCGGCCACAUUGGGACUGAGACACGGCCCAAACUCCUACGGGAGGCAGCAGUAGGGAAUCUUCCACAAUGGACGAAAGUCUGAUGGAGCAACGCCGCGUGAGUGAAGAAGGGUUUCGGCUCGUAAAGCUCUGUUGGUAGUGAAGAAAGAUAGAGGUAGUAACUGGCCUUUAUUUGACGGUAAUUACUUAGAAAGUCACGGCUAACUACGUGCCAGCAGCCGCGGUAAUACGUAGGUGGCAAGCGUUGUCCGGAUUUAUUGGGCGUAAAGCGAGUGCAGGCGGUUCAAUAAGUCUGAUGUGAAAGCCUUCGGCUCAACCGGAGAAUUGCAUCAGAAACUGUUGAACUUGAGUGCAGAAGAGGAGAGUGGAACUCCAUGUGUAGCGGUGGAAUGCGUAGAUAUAUGGAAGAACACCAGUGGCGAAGGCGGCUCUCUGGUCUGCAACUGACGCUGAGGCUCGAAAGCAUGGGUAGCGAACAGGAUUAGAUACCCUGGUAGUCCAUGCCGUAAACGAUGA